Molecule: ribosomal RNA, 525 nt
Filed under: Klebsiella oxytoca
Lineage: Bacteria; Pseudomonadati; Pseudomonadota; Gammaproteobacteria; Enterobacterales; Enterobacteriaceae
Description: bacterial SSU rRNA
Rfam family: Bacterial small subunit ribosomal RNA
Source: RNAcentral
GCCCGCACAAGCGGUGGAGCAUGUGGUUUAAUUCGAUGCAACGCGAAGAACCUUACCUACUCUUGACAUCCAGAGAAUUUAGCAGAGAUGCUUUGGUGCCUUCGGGAACUNUGAGACAGGUGCUGCAUGGCUGUCGUCAGCUCGUGUUGUGAAAUGUUGGGUUAAGUCCCGCAACGAGCGCAACCCUUAUCCUUUGUUGCCAGCGAUUCGGUCGGGAACUCAAAGGAGACUGCCAGUGAUAAACUGGAGGAAGGUGGGGAUGACGUCAAGUCAUCAUGGCCCUUACGAGUAGGGCUACACACGUGCUACAAUGGCAUAUACAAAGAGAAGCGACCUCGCGAGAGCAAGCGGACCUCAUAAAGUAUGUCGUAGUCCGGAUUGGAGUCUGCAACUCGACUCCAUGAAGUCGGAAUCGCUAGUAAUCGUGGAUCAGAAUGCCACGGUGAAUACGUUCCCGGGCCUUGUACACACCGCCCGUCACACCAUGGGAGUGGGUUGCAAAAGAAGUNNNUUAGGGUUAACNCU